This is a long non-coding RNA of Mytilus californianus (California mussel), 842 nucleotides long. RefSeq lists it as uncharacterized. NCBI's taxonomy places the organism in Eukaryota, Metazoa, Mollusca, Bivalvia, Mytilida, Mytilidae. The transcript is spliced from 4 exons. The record is from RefSeq and is a predicted model, not a curated record.
UUAUAAUAAUCAAUAGUUACAUGUGUACAUAGCUACAUUAGAAUACAAUAACCGGUGAAAGUCAUCCGAGGCGAUAGUAGCAGAAGUAUAUCUAGAGACACUGCCAUGACCAUAACAGUUGUUAUAGAGUACCAGUAUGGCUGAUGCUCUGGUGGAAGAUUUGAGAGAUUGAAAGAGGAGAUUCUUGUCGUGUUCCCAGAUGCUGUCGUGAGGAGCACAAUGGGCCCAGAAUCUUCGUAUGAAAUAACACUAGAAGGUCAUCUCGUGUUCUCAAAACUCAAGCUCGGGGGUUAUCCAUAUAAUGACGACAUAAUGCAAUGUUUACGACAAGUUAACACUGGUGGUACACCGGAAGUUGUAAAGCGAGCUAAAAAGCCUACUUUUCUGAAAUAGGGGAAUACCAGGAAGAACAACAAUUGUUAUACAAUGUUAAUUUGAAUGUUUUAUAUGAUUUAAUUGGUGAUUAGAUGAACUUUAAGCUCUUCAAAGUGCACCUGUAUUUUUAUAGUAAAUCACACCUUUCAAUGUUCACACAUAAAAAAAAAAUGUUUGACUAAAAAUGCACGUAUUGGUUUAAAGCUGAAACAUUGCAUUACAUCAGUAUAAUAAUGUAUGUAUCUCCAUAAAAUAAUGUAACUGACAUCUGAGGUUUGCAAUGCAUUCCACUUGCACUUUAUAUACUUUUUAAUAAAUAUAUGGAUAAUAAUUUCUUAAAACAUGACAUCUAAACUUACAAAUCUGAAUACUUAGAUGAGUUUAGAUUGAUGAAUAAUUAUAGGAAUUUACACAACUAUGUCGUCGUCUAAAUUGAAAUUGUAUAAUUAAAAACAUUUUCAAAUGUU